GUUCUAUGGUCAGAUUGUUGUCUCUUUGACACAUUCCCCAUUUCCAUUCUCAAUUUUAUUAAUGCAUGAACCCCACAUAUUUAUAUAGUUUAGCUUAUGCAUGAACUACACAUAUAUCUAUAAUAAAAUUGAGAAUGGAAAUGGGGAAUGUGUCAAAGAGACAACAACCCGACCAAAUAA
This 180-nucleotide small RNA is filed under the name Mytilus galloprovincialis (Mediterranean mussel). Lineage: Eukaryota; Metazoa; Mollusca; Bivalvia; Mytilida; Mytilidae. The record is from RNAcentral.